GGUGGCUCAAUGGUAGAGUACUUGCCUCGCAUGCAUGAGGCCCUGGGUUCAAUUCCUCAGCACCA
This 65-nucleotide transfer RNA is filed under the name Dipodomys ordii (Ord's kangaroo rat). It matches the Rfam family "tRNA". Rfam says of the family: Transfer RNA (tRNA) molecules are approximately 80 nucleotides in length. Their secondary structure includes four short double-helical elements and three loops (D, anti-codon, and T loops). Further hydrogen bonds mediate the characteristic L-shaped molecular structure. tRNAs have two regions of fundamental functional importance: the anti-codon, which is responsible for specific mRNA codon recognition, and the 3' end, to which the tRNAs corresponding amino acid is attached (by aminoacyl-tRNA synthetases). tRNAs cope with the degeneracy of the genetic code in two manners: having more than one tRNA (with a specific anti-codon) for a particular amino acid; and 'wobble' base-pairing, i.e. permitting non-standard base-pairing at the 3rd anti-codon position. The record is from Rfam by way of RNAcentral. Lineage: Eukaryota; Metazoa; Chordata; Mammalia; Rodentia; Heteromyidae.